AGCGAACGCUGGCGGCAGGCUUAACACAUGCAAGUCGAACGCCAUCUUCGGAUGGAGUGGCAGACGGGUGAGUAACGCGUGGAAACAUACCUUUUGCUUCGGAAUAUUCCCGGGAAACUGGGAGCAAUACCGAAUACGCCCUGAGGGGGAAAGAUUUAUCGGCAAAAGAUUGGUCCGCGUUAGAUUAGGUAGUUGGUGGGGUAAUGGCCUACCAAGCCUACGAUCUAUAGCUGGUCUGAGAGGAUGAUCAGCCACAUUGGGACUGAGACACGGCCCAAACUCCUACGGGAGGCAGCAGUGGGGAAUAUUGGACAAUGGGCGAAAGCCUGAUCCAGCCAUGCCGCGUGAAUGAUGAAGGCCUUAGGGUUGUAAAAUUCUUUCACCGGGGACGAUAAUGACGGUACCCGGAGAAGAAGCCCCGGCUAACUUCGUGCCAGCCGCCGCCGUAA
Molecule: ribosomal RNA, 449 nt
Filed under: uncultured bacterium
Lineage: Bacteria
Description: partial 16S ribosomal RNA
Rfam family: Bacterial small subunit ribosomal RNA
Source: RNAcentral